This 661-nucleotide long non-coding RNA is filed under the name Marmota monax (woodchuck). The record is from RNAcentral. Lineage: Eukaryota; Metazoa; Chordata; Mammalia; Rodentia; Sciuridae.
AGACUUGUUGAAAAUGAAGUACCCACCUCCAAGAUCAUUUCAUAACUCCUCCACUUACUCAAGUAAGGGGAACCUUUCCAGAUUGCUCAACUUAAAAAUACAAGAAACUCUACAAAUUCUGAACCAGAAGACAGGGAUAUGACUCUGAUCCAAGCUUUUCCCUCAGGAAUUUGGACCACAAAUGAAUUGAGAGAAAUGCAAAUUUUAAUGGUUAAAGCCACAGUGUCCUGUCACAGAGCUUUGAUUUCAGAGCUAUAACAAUACAGGUUUCCCCCAUUAUUCAAACUCUCUCCAAACUCCCAUGUUCUGAACCCAGAAAAGGAAUUCAUUUGGAUAGCAAAGAAUACUUGUAUAAAGAAUAGAAUGUGCCCCCAAAGCUCUUUAUUAUUGGAAGUCUCUACCUUAGAGUCAAGAAACAGUACUGACUGAUGACAUUCAUUCCGCAAGAAAACAGUAAGAAGCAUUUCUUCCAAUGCACCUUUGGAACGCAUGAAUCGUUGUGCUUUCUGAACAUGUUUUGACAUGUUUUAGCUGAUAAUCAUUUGGUUCUGUGGUGUUCAAAGAAGUUAUUUCUACUGAUGGCAUUUUAAAACAGUAUGUCUAAAGCCAGGGGCGGUGUUACAUACCUGUAAUCCCAACAGCUCGGGAGGUUUGAGGCAGG